RNAcentral lists this long non-coding RNA (2866 nucleotides) under Mus musculus (house mouse). RNAcentral's name for it is "long non-coding RNA chr8:115314291-115317157". The record is from RNAcentral. Lineage: Eukaryota; Metazoa; Chordata; Mammalia; Rodentia; Muridae.
GGGAACAUCAUGUCUCCUACAAAUAGAACCCUUCUCUAUAACUGUUUUUUUUUAAACAAACAAUUAACAAACAUGUAAAAUCAGCUUGAAGGUUCAAUGGCGGGUUGGUGUAUCUAUCCAACUGGAAUAUUAUGCAGAAAAUAAAAACUCCCAUUGAGAAAAACAUGCAUAACAAAAGGUUGGAUGUCAAAAAUGGGAUUCAAAAUAAAAUAUAUCAUCCAACUAGAAAUAAAUGAAAAGGCCAACUAGAUGUGUUUAGUGAGUUCCAGGGCAGUGUGGGUCACAAACAACAGUAAAAUAACAAUAAAAUAACAACAACAACAACAAAAUUCAAAAGAGAAAGAGAUCAGAGGAGACAAGAAAGAGAAGAGAGGGGGCUGUGUCUAUGUCUGAGGGGUGUUUGUUUGGUUUUUACUUUUCAAAAAAUUUAACGGAUUUCACUGGCUUUAGAAUCUUAAAAAUUGUGAUUUUUAAAUGCCUCACCAGGAAAAUCUUAUGGAAACUGGCAGGAUACCAUAUUUUUAGGCUAGGCUACCUGAUGGUUCGUAAUACUUGCGUGUAGCCAGAGUGUCUUCCUGAACUUGGCCUAAAGAGGUAGAUCUUGUGGGUUUGUAGCAGGAAAGGUCAUGGAGGGGUGCAUUCGAUGCGAUGCCCAUCUGGGGCUGUGGUUCGUAGGCAAAGCGAAUGUCUUCAACUCAGCCUCCUGCCAGAUGCCUCUGGCUGGUCAAGACUGUGUGCGUCUCUCCUUUGCCUCAGCCGCCAAGCAGUAACUGAGAAACCGAGUGUCCCACCCAGAAACACAGUUAGUGCCUGGCCCAGAGAAGCAUGCCACAUUCCUCAAGAUUAAAAGCAGACUGUGGAGAGCUCUUGGUGGAGAGAUGCUUUCUGUGCAAGUAUGAGGAUUGGAGCUCAAUCCCCAGAACCCACAUAAAAAAGCUGGAUAACCUACACCUAUUAUCCCAGCACUAGGCGGAUAGAGACAGGGGGAUUCUCAGGGCUCACUGGCCAGUCAGUCUAACCAAACUGUGAGCUCCUGGUUUGGUGAAAGACCUUGUCUAGAAAGACAAGGUGGAGAGUGAUUGACUGGGGGAAACAUCCAGCAUGUACCUCUGGCCUCUACAGGAGCACAUGCAAGCAUGCAUGCUUGAACAUGCAUGUCACGUGUGUGCACACAUACAUAAAUAUUAUUGACAUACAUAAAUAUACUAAUAUUAACUAGCACACACACAUCAAUAAAUAUACUAAUAUUAACUAACGCACACCAGACUGAUGUCUGUUGAGUGAUUCCUUCAGACAAGGAACGCAGGCAGUAUGAACCACGGAUGUGGUAUUAUUUUACAACAUUUUACGCACUAAGGAGAAAUACAUUUGAUAACUUUACCAGAAAACAUCAUGCUAAUUAAGAAGAAUAUAAAGAAGGUGGCGGAACAGCUUCUAUGGAGUCUUUACUACAUGCCAUUUUGUAUAAGUGCUUCUAGUUUGCAUAAUUUAUCCCAUUUAAUGUUAGCAUUAAUCACCAGGGAGUCUGAGAACUCUUUCACCUGGGUCUGUGUGAUAUCAUCAUGAAGACCUCGUCUCUCCCUCCACAAUGCUUCUUUCUAACCCCUAACCUUUGCCACCUGCUGCCCUCUGACAGUACCUUCUCCUCCAUAUUCACUUCAGAAAUUGGGAAGUCCCAGAGAGUCCAACUAUAACCUAAUCAGGAUUGAUCCAUCCACUUUGACUUAAUCACUUUCAUUUUUACUACGCCUUCCUCCUUCUGCCAAAACGAGAUGAACGUGUUAGAGGUAGGCUAAUGUGCUGAGUGAAAAAGACAUCGCUGCCUUCAUGUAAUACUGCAUUAUGAAGCCCAGCUGCUCCUCUCCAGACUAAAGAACACAUUUCCCAUACUGCACAAGACCUAAGAUUUAAAACCCCUGUAUGGGUUUUAUUUUUACUUUGGUUGGGCUUUUUUGCCUGCAUUUCUCAGUGGCCACCAGGUCAGUCACAAAGCUGUGGUUCUGAGCAGCCCGGGCCUCUUCAUCAUGACAAACAGACCCUAUGGUUAGCUCCAUAGACAGCUCAGCAGCCUUUGAUUUGGUCAUCAGUUCCAGGGGAAAGUGGUUUAUGGAGGAGAAAUCCCUGCACUCAGGAUCCAUGGCUUUCUGUGGACCACGUCUAACCCAGUUGUGGCUCCCAUCUCAGGAGGACAUACAUUGAUCUUGACGCUGGCACUCUUUUUCUGCCUCCUAGUGCUCUUUCAUAGUCCCUGCAUGGUGGCUUCCAGUGAACCUCUUCAGAGUCACCGCUCCUCCCCACAGAUCCUGCUCCCAACCCACAUUCUUCCACACGUCUGGGCCUCCAGUGGUACCGUGACCUCUACACGAGUUCCUUUUGCAAAUGCCUAUGAAAUGGAAGAGAAACACCACCGUUUUCAUGGAACUGUCCUAGGGUUCCAUAAUACAGUGGUGGGUUUCCAACCUGUCUCCAUAAGAGAUUCUAAUUUUAGCAUUGAAUGACACUUUAAAAAUAUGUAUUUAAUUUUUAAUUUAUGUACAUGAAUGUUCAAGCAGGGUGUGGGAGUGAGUGUGUGUGUGUGUGUGUGUGUGUGUGUGUGUGUGUGUGUGUUUAUUCACCUAUGUGUGGGUGCCCAUGCAUGCCAGAAGACUAUAUCUCAAAUCCUUUGGAUUUGGAGUUAUUGAUGAUCGUAAGCUUCCCAGGGUGGACUCUGGAAACCAAACUCAGAUCCCAGGAGAGCACAGAAAGUUCUCGUGACUUACAGAGCCACCUCUCUAGCCCUUAAAACCACUCUCACUGGAAUUGUUGGCUCAUCUGCACAGAACUGAAUCAGGAUAGGUGAGACUGCUCUAGCAGGCAGCCCCCCCCC